Molecule: long non-coding RNA, 281 nt
Organism: Portunus trituberculatus (swimming crab)
Lineage: Eukaryota; Metazoa; Arthropoda; Malacostraca; Decapoda; Portunidae
Exons: 3
Source: RefSeq, a predicted model, not a curated record
GUGUGUGUGUGUGUGUGUGUGUGUGUGUGUGUGUGUGUGUGUGUGUGUGUGUGUGUGUGUGUGUGUGUGUGUGUGUGUGUGUGUGUGUGUGUGUGUGUGUGUGUGUGUGUGUGUUUAUCCACCAACUCAUUUACUUAUUAAUAUAUUUACACUGAGUCACAUUCGCUUUAUGUGUGUGUGUCUGUGUGUGUGUGUGUGUGUGUGUGUGUGUGUGUGUGUGUGUGUGUGUGUGUGUGUGUGUGUGUGUGUGUGUGUGUGUGUGUGUGUGUGUGUUUGUAUGC